This 440-nucleotide ribosomal RNA is filed under the name Klebsiella pneumoniae subsp. pneumoniae KPNIH16. Its description in RNAcentral is "bacterial LSU rRNA". It matches the Rfam family "Bacterial large subunit ribosomal RNA", at positions 2494 to 2925 of the family's 2925-position model. Lineage: Bacteria; Pseudomonadati; Pseudomonadota; Gammaproteobacteria; Enterobacterales; Enterobacteriaceae. The record is from RNAcentral.
AAGAGUUCAUAUCGACGGCGGUGUUUGGCACCUCGAUGUCGGCUCAUCACAUCCUGGGGCUGAAGUAGGUCCCAAGGGUAUGGCUGUUCGCCAUUUAAAAGUGGUACGCGAGCUGGGUUUAGAACGUCGUGAGACAGUUCGGUCCCUAUCUGCCGUGGGCGCUGGAGAAUUGAGGGGGGCUGCUCCUAGUACGAGAGGACCGGAGUGGACGCAUCACUGGUGUUCGGGUUGUCAUGCCAAUGGCACUGCCCGGUAGCUAAAUGCGGAAGAGAUAAGUGCUGAAAGCAUCUAAGCACGAAACUUGCCCCGAGAUGAGUUCUCCCUGAGACUUUAAGUCUCCUGAAGGAACGUUGAAGACGACGACGUUGAUAGGCCGGGUGUGUAAGCGCAGCGAUGCGUUGAGCUAACCGGUACUAAUGAACCGUGAGGCUUAACCUUAC